RNAcentral lists this ribosomal RNA (428 nucleotides) under Leucauge magnifica. RNAcentral's name for it is "partial 16S ribosomal RNA". The record is from RNAcentral. Lineage: Eukaryota; Metazoa; Arthropoda; Arachnida; Araneae; Tetragnathidae.
UUGUUUAGAUUUUCUGCUCAUGGUUUUAUAUAAAUAGCCGCAGAAUUUAACUGUGCUAAGGUAGCAUAAUCAUUAGUUUUUUAAUUAAAAACUAGAAUGAACGAAAUAACAAUUCAACAACUUUUUUAAUUUUAAUUAUAAAAAUUUUAUUAAAUAUAAAAAUAUAUUUAUAAAUAAGAAAGACGACAAGACCCUAUCAAACUUUACUUUAGUUUAGCUGGGGCAGCUAAUUAAAAAUAAUUUUAAUACUAAUAUUUUUAUAAAAGACCCAAUAUAAAUUGAUUAAAUGAACAAGUUACUGUAGGGAUAACAGCGUUAUAUUUUUUUGAAGUUCUUAUUUUAAAAAAAGAUUGCGACCUCGAUGUUGAAUUAUUUAACUUUAAAAAGCAAAAUUUUUAUAAGUAGGCCUGUUCGGCCUUUAAAUUUUU